This is a long non-coding RNA of Homo sapiens (human), 513 nucleotides long. The record is from Ensembl. NCBI's taxonomy places the organism in Eukaryota, Metazoa, Chordata, Mammalia, Primates, Hominidae.
GUUGGAAUGAGCAGCUUGGGAAAGCAAUGAGAAGGCAUGAAGAAAGGAGAUAAGAAAAUGGAGGCAAAGACAGAUUGGAUAACUUGCUGAACUUGGUGGAGGAGAAGGACUUGAACUUAGCAGCCCAGCUUGAGUCUUUCUAUGUGCUGUGCUGUGCUGUCUUCCCGAAGCGGGUGCACUAGCAGUAUAACCCAAAAAGAGGUGAGAGACUGGCACAGAACAGGUACCCAGUAAAUGAAUGUGGAAUGAAUAGAGCUAGAGACCUUGGUUUCUGCAGAAAGAUCUCCAGACCUUCAGAGAAAACAUCUCACCUCAGAAGGUAUUCACUGGCCAGAUGCCACAUUCUCCUUGAAGUCAGGCUGCCCCACUGAACUCACUGGCUUUGAAGCAGAGUAAGGCCUGCUCAGGAACCCAGCGGGAAGUCUUGUGUCUGUGACCUGGGCCCCCAUGGUUAGAGUCAGGAGAUUAGAGUGUCCUUGCUCCAAAGCCAGAGAUACAGACCCAGAUUACUCA